GGUAUGGCCAGCCUGAUCAGCCAUGCCGCGUGUGUGAAGAAUGCCUUCUGGUUGUAAAGCUCUUUUUACCGGAAAGAAUGGCUCUGACUAGUACCUUUUUGUAUUGACCUUACCAGAAAAAAAGGCCCGGUCAACUCCGUGCCCCCCGCCGCGGUAAUAGAUCCGGGCGUUACCUUAAUUUAAUUUACUGGGCGGAAAGCGAGGUUGAGCUGUUGUUCAACACCGAUGUUAAACCCCCCAACUUAACCUGUGAAUUGGAUUGUGGACUGCUUGGCUGUAGUGUGGCAGAGGGGGGUUCAAUUCCACGUGUAGCAAUGAAAUGCGUUCAGAUGUGAAUCAAUACCGAUGGGCAACGCACCCCCCUGGAAUUGACUGACGCUCAUGCGCAAAGCGUGGGGAGCAAAUUAGAUUACAUACCCUGGUACUCCACGCCCUAUACGAUGUCAACUAUUUGUUGGGGAUUCAUUUCCUUAAUAACGUAGCUUACGCGUUCAAUUGACCGCCUGGGGAGGACGGUCGCAAGAUUAAAAGUCAUUGGAGGUUUGCCGGG
This 550-nucleotide ribosomal RNA is filed under the name uncultured bacterium. Its description in RNAcentral is "partial 16S ribosomal RNA". It matches the Rfam family "Bacterial small subunit ribosomal RNA", at positions 368 to 917 of the family's 1533-position model. The record is from RNAcentral.